UGCCUGAUGGAGGGGGAUAACUACUGGAAACGGUAGCUAAUACCCCAUAACGUCGCAAGACCAAAGAGGGGGACCUUCGGGCCACUUGCCAUCAGAUGUGCCCAGAUGGGGUUAGCUAGUAGGUGGGGUAACGGCUCACCUAGGCGACGAUCCCUAGCUGGUCUGAGAGGAUGACCAGCCACACUGGAACUGAGACACGGAACCAGACUCCUCCGGGAGGCAGCAGUGGGGAAUAUUGCACAAUGGGCGCAAGCCUGAUGCAGCCAUGCCGCGUGUAUGAAGAAGGCCUUCGGGUUGUAAAGUACUUUCAGCGGGGAGGAAGGUGUUGUGGUUAAAAACCGCAGCAAAUGACGUUACCCGCAGAAGAAGCACCGGCUAACUCCGUGCC
Molecule: ribosomal RNA, 388 nt
Filed under: Enterobacter sp. SB2
Lineage: Bacteria; Pseudomonadati; Pseudomonadota; Gammaproteobacteria; Enterobacterales; Enterobacteriaceae
Description: bacterial SSU rRNA
Rfam family: Bacterial small subunit ribosomal RNA
Source: RNAcentral